UAAUGUUUUAAAUGAAUAAUGUCCAAAUUUUUUUAUUUAAAUAAACCUUAUAUACAUGGAAAAAAUUUUGUGCAAAUUUUAACAAAAAUUGCUAACCAGUAUGGAAUGAUGUUUUUCUAUAGUUGCCUGGAUUAGUCAAAUGGAAUCACUUUGGUAUUCACUCAGAGUAUGUGGAUUCAAAUCCAGGUCCCAUCUAGUUGGAAAAUUUAUAUGUGGGAUCCAAUCCUAGUCCAUCAAUGCAUGUCUCUACACCAACUUGUCAUCAAACUUCCUAGAUAUAGGUAGUCUAUGUAUGACUUGAAAUUGAUUUUGCCAUUUAAUAAUCAGAGAGUGAUUGAUACAAAAAAUAUCAUUAAUUAUAUGGGAAAUAUUAUUGUUGAUAAUUUGAAAUCGCUUGAAUAUCCCAGUACAGAGAUGUGUGAACUGGAGAAUUUGACUCCAUAUGAAACUGUAAAAGAAAUUCUCAAAGAGGAAUUUUUUUAUUCUGGUAGUUUUUAUCCUAAAAUAAUGUGCUCUUAACUGUUGUUCAUUUUAUAUAUUGCAUAAAAGUGGCCAAAUAAUAAAGGAAUCC
This 571-nucleotide long non-coding RNA is filed under the name Androctonus crassicauda. Lineage: Eukaryota; Metazoa; Arthropoda; Arachnida; Scorpiones; Buthidae. The record is from RNAcentral.